Molecule: long non-coding RNA, 1030 nt
Filed under: Numida meleagris (helmeted guineafowl)
Lineage: Eukaryota; Metazoa; Chordata; Aves; Galliformes; Numididae
Description: lncRNA (ENSNMEG00000008746.1)
Source: RNAcentral
AUGCUGUCUUCCUUCUGCUCACAGUGGUGUUCCUGUGUUCCAACAGAUUCAUGUGUUUGUGGCAAUGGCUCUUCUCCUAGGAUGCAGCAUAUAAAUUAUCUCUUCCAUACAAAGCAUCACAGAAAACAAUUUUUUCAAGUGGUCACAGAUGAGCAAUGUCCAAAGGAAUUUUCCUUUUCAGAGGCUUCAUUUAAUGCAUCUGUUUGUUGUUCUAGGGUGUGCAAUCUGCAAAAGGUCAUAAUCUGCAGGUGCAAAUACGUUCACCAAAGCUCUCUGGAGAAAUACUUGAUUCUGAAGUUACUGGAUACUGGACAACUCCAGUUUUUCUGAAGGGAAAGAUCUGUUGGGCAUUAGCUGUGGAGUCUUUCUGCUUCAGCUGUGAUCAGAAGGAAUACAGGAAAGAAAAACAAGUAAGGUAAACUAUUUUAAAAUCUUUAAGCAGUUGAAAUUCAAAUGGAAAUAUAUACCUACUUUUACUGUUAGAAUAUUGGUGUGCUCAUCGUUUUCUGUUAUUUAGGCAAUCAGUCUUUCUACACUGAAUUAGCAGUGAGUGUGUUGGUGAUAGAGCCCACAGAAAGAACAAGACUCAUUGACCUCAAUUCCUGAAAUGCAAUAAUAAUAGGCACUUGUGAUGUUACUAGAGCCCGUGAAGUUCUUAAUUUGGAUGUAAACUUCACUCAUUCACCCUACCCAUUUUUUUCCUUCCCCUAGAUUUAACAGUUAUUCAAAGAAUGUUUCAUAACUUAAUUAUUACUAUGUAUAGUGAGUUCAAAUGCUUGGCAGAUUAACAAUAAUGUUAUUGCAAAGAAUGUUAACUGCUGCUGCAUCAGUAGCACUCCAGCAAGUUUUUAAUGUGUUCAGGACAGUAGUGUGGCUGACCACCUGGGAAGAUAGCAGAAGCCUUCUUUUGUUUGAUGUUCAGUUUUAGUCCACAGUGUCUGCCGUAGUGAUCAGCUCUGCCCAUGUACAGGAUAGCAGGGGCCAUGAACAAACUGCAUGUCUCAGUGCAAGAGGAAAACAGAUAAGGGCC